GCCUGUUUAACAAAAACAUCGCCUUUUAACAGUAUAAAAGGUUACUUCUGCUCAAUGCCUUUAGUAAAUAGCUGCAGUACUCUGACUGUACUAAGGUAGCAUAAUAACUUGGCCCUUAAUUGGGGUCUGGAAUGAAUGAAUUCACGAGAAACUAACUGUCUCUAUUAUAGUAUAUGAAUUUUAUUUUUAAGUAAAAAAGCUUAAUUGUGAUGGAGGGACGACAAGACCCUAUAGAUCUUUACUACUUAAUAUAAUUUAUAUAUAUAUAUUGGGAAGGUUGUCUGGGAUGGACCUAAAAAAUGCUUAACUUUAGUUAAUUAAACAAUUAUAAUUUAAAUUGAAUGAUCCUUAUAAAGAUAAAAAGAGAAAGUUACCUUAGGGAUAACAGCACAAUUAUCACUAUUUAGACCAUUUAAAUAGUGAAGGUUGUGACCUCGAUGUUGAAUUAAGUUUACUGAUAAAUGCAGAAAGUUAUAAAGUUAGUCUGCUCGACUAUUUAAUACU
RNAcentral lists this ribosomal RNA (504 nucleotides) under Anaticola crassicornis (slender duck louse). RNAcentral describes it as "partial 16S ribosomal RNA". It matches the Rfam family "Bacterial large subunit ribosomal RNA", at positions 1798 to 2596 of the family's 2925-position model. Lineage: Eukaryota; Metazoa; Arthropoda; Insecta; Psocodea; Philopteridae. The record is from RNAcentral.